This 507-nucleotide unclassified non-coding RNA is filed under the name uncultured Paraglomus. Its description in RNAcentral is "bacterial SSU rRNA". It matches the Rfam family "Eukaryotic small subunit ribosomal RNA", at positions 569 to 1079 of the family's 1831-position model. Lineage: Eukaryota; Fungi; Glomeromycota; Glomeromycetes; Paraglomerales; Paraglomeraceae. The record is from RNAcentral.
AGCAGCCGCGGUAAUUCCAGCUCCAAUAGCGUAUAUUAAAGUUGCUGCAGUUAAAAAGCUCGUAGUUGAACUUCAGGCCUGUCCAGAUGGUCCGCCUUAAUUGGUGUGUACUGUCCUUGGGUGGGUCCUACCUUCUGGCGAAGCGGCAUGGCCUUAGUUGGUUGUGUCGGGGAAGCAGGACUUUUACUGUGAAAAAUUGAGUGUUCAAAGCAGGCAUAUAUGCUCGAAUACAUUAGCAUGGAAUAAUGGAAUAGGACGAUGGUUCUAUUUUGUUGGUUCUAGGACCGUUGUAAUGAUUAAUAGGGAUAGUUGGGGGCAUUAGUAUUCAAUUGUCAGAGGUGAAAUUCUUGGAUUUAUUGAAGACUAACUACUGCGAAAGCAUUUGCCAAGGAUGUUUUCAUUAAUCAAGAACGAAAGUUAGGGGAUCGAAGACGAUCAGAUACCGUCGUAGUCUUAACCAUAAACUAUGCCGACUAGGAAUCGGGCGAUGUUGACAAAAUGACUCGC